Macaca mulatta (Rhesus monkey) is the source of this 1671-nucleotide long non-coding RNA. RefSeq lists it as uncharacterized. NCBI's taxonomy places the organism in Eukaryota, Metazoa, Chordata, Mammalia, Primates, Cercopithecidae. The record is from RefSeq and is a predicted model, not a curated record.
GGGCUCGCGGCGGCGGCGGCGGUGGGACUGGCCCUGCGCCCGGGCACCGCCUGAGCUGCGCCGCCCGGCCUGACUCCGCGGCCCGCCAGGACCCGGCCCCGGUGAACGCGCUCGGGGUGCCGAGGUCCGGCUGUGGGCCCGGGAAGCCCCCUCCACCUUGCCGUCUGUUACUGCCCCCGAGGCACAAGGCUGAGCCCUGUCUCACUAUCCGGGUCCAGAGGGGUUCACUUUAGAAGGAUUUUUUUGAAGCUCUUGGCGCUCCCGCUAAAAGAACCCACUUCCUUGCGGAUUUCAGGAGCCAAGAAUCCUUAAACGGGGCCAAUUUGCUCUGUAAAGUCAGUUGCCCAGUGACCUGAGUUCGAAAGGAGAUACUUCCUGGACAACUGCUAUAACAACAACAACAACAAAUCCUUUUAUUAAUUCGGGGAGUCUGGUCACCAACUGUAUGCUCAGAUGGAACCCUGAGCAGCCCAUGUACAUGCAAGAUCUUUAUUGCAGAGAUCUUCAAACCAGCUACUGUGCCUUUACUCCUGCCUCUCCAUGCCUCAAGAAGGAAUGAAGAGGUCUCUGCUGUCCAUUUGAGCCAGUGACUGGGCUGUCUCUACCAGGCCGGAAUUUGGGGCAGGUAAGAUUUUCAGCAUCCCUAAAAUCACACUAAGAAGAUAAACAUGGAAACAGCUUGGAGCUGGCCUACCCAUAGUGAGGUGGUACUGACUGGAAGACAGCUUAAAUGAUUUGGAGAAAAAUGGAAUACAUUGAUCUCAGAAAACUCUACCACCUGUAGAAAGAGAGCUAAAAUGGAGACAACCACAGGCAGUCUAAGAUACGCUGAACUACUACAGACAAUAAUUCAGCAAGAAGGAGUGCUGGCAGGUAUGGUGUCAGAGCAAGCUGAUGGAGGGUCCUUCAUUUCCAAGCUGUGAGUACAGCAGGCUAUCAGGCUUAGUUCGUAAGAACAUCUCCAGAAAGACAAUCUCUAUAAAAACUGCUUCAAUAGAAAGAAUGCAAGAUGUAACUGCUUCAUAAUAGGACUGAUAUUUUUAAAAACAAAUGAACGUAAUAGAAGACUAGAUGGAUGUGCUUCUCAAAGUCAUCUCUGUGGGAGGCUUCAUCCUCACUCUAGAUUUGUUGCCUGUAGUAGCUAUUAUUGAUUACCCACUCAUAGCCUAUCCAUACUUAUUCAUCUUUCCUUUAUAUACCAGUGGCAUCCUAUUGGAACCACCUGUGACUUUCUUAGGGCUUUCUCUUGGCCAAGCAUUGGAAGGCCAGCAGUAUUGAAAAGUUAAUAGUGUUGGAAGCACUGGCCCUCAACUGAUGACAAAGAAAAAAUAUAAGAUAAAUUCCCCAGCUUCUUUGCCCCUUGAAUGGGUCAAGUCUGUGGUGUGUUCUACCCGUUUUCCAGAGGUCCCAUGAUUUUAAACCCUAGCUGUUCAAGACAAUUUCCUGAUAAUUGAUGUACUCUCUGUUGGCUAAUUUUUAGAUAGUAUGGAAUAUGCUCAAAAUAUGAUACCCAAAGAAAAAAUCAAAUGCCGAAAUUGUAUACACUGAAUGAGUUCAAUUAUGUAUAAGUGUGGACGUACACACAUCAAAAGAAAUAUGGAACGAAAAAUAUUAAGUGUUUAUAGUGGUUAUUUCUGGGUGUUGAAAUUUUACGUGAUUUUCCUUUUCUUC